This 485-nucleotide ribosomal RNA is filed under the name uncultured bacterium. RNAcentral describes it as "partial 16S ribosomal RNA". It matches the Rfam family "Bacterial small subunit ribosomal RNA", at positions 29 to 523 of the family's 1533-position model. The record is from RNAcentral.
AGUGAACGCUGGCGGCGUGCUUAACACAUGCAAGUCGAACGAGAACGGAAUAUAGCUUGCUAUAUUUGUCAGCUAAGUGGCGCACGGGUGAGUAAUGUAUAGAUAACCUGCCCUUAAGAAAGGAAUAACAGUUGGAAACGACUGCCAAUGCCCUAUAUGCCUUUAAUACAUAAGUAUGCAAGGGAAACGCUUUAGUGCUUAAGGAUGGGUCUGUAUGGUAUCAGCUUGUUGGUGAGGUAAUGGCUCACCAAGGCUAUGACGCCUAACUGGUUUGGGAGGAUGAUCAGUCACACUGGAACUGAGACACGGUCCAGACUACUACGGGAGGCAGCAGUGGGGAAUAUUGCACAAUGGACGAAAGUCUGAUGCAGCAACGCCGCGUGGAGGAUGACACAUUUCGGUGCGUAAACUCCUUUUAUAUAGGAAGAUAAUGACGGUACUAUAUGAAUAAGCACCGGCUAACUCCGUGCCAGCCGCCGCCGUAA